CAGUAGCCGCGGUAAUACGGAGGGUGCGAGCGUUAAUCGGAAUAACUGGGCGUAAAGGGCACGCAGGCGGACUUUUAAGUGAGGUGUGAAAGCCCCGGGCUUAACCUGGGAAUUGCAUUUCAGACUGGGAGUCUAGAGUACUUUAGGGAGGGGUAGAAUUCCACGUGUAGCGGUGAAAUGCGUAGAGAUGUGGAGGAAUACCGAAGGCGAAGGCAGCCCCUUGGGAAUGUACUGACGCUCAUGUGCGAAAGCGUGGGGAGCAAACAGGAUUAGAUACCCCUGUAGUCCCUGUCUCUUAUAA
This 301-nucleotide ribosomal RNA is filed under the name uncultured bacterium. Its description in RNAcentral is "partial 16S ribosomal RNA". It matches the Rfam family "Bacterial small subunit ribosomal RNA", at positions 509 to 809 of the family's 1533-position model. The record is from RNAcentral.